RNAcentral lists this long non-coding RNA (2210 nucleotides) under Homo sapiens (human). RNAcentral's name for it is "HSALNT0144189". The record is from RNAcentral. Lineage: Eukaryota; Metazoa; Chordata; Mammalia; Primates; Hominidae.
AUUGGGGAACCUCCUUACAGAUUGACAAGUGUGGAAAUCUGGGCUCCUCACUUGACCUUUGCUGGCCUGGUGGGGUUAGAGACAGAUUUUCUGUGAUGUUUGAUAUAGUAAAGAGGUUGUUAUCUAAAAGUUUUCUGUCUUACCAGUCUGCCGCCCUUUCCUGGAACUUUGGCUCAAGAGGCUUUUCUGGGGGCUUGUUUUGUCUGUGCUCCCUGGCAUUUCUGAGUAUCCAGCUCCUCCAACAUCUCAUCUGAGACAUAGGAGGCCGAAUAAAAUCCAGGAAACUCCUACCAUAUAUCUUGUCCCUCUGAUCCUGAGGUUGAUAGCCAGUCUUUUUCUCUCUAACUUUCAGUGCCUUCUUAUGUUUGUUUUAUGUAUAAUAUUCAUGGUUUUAGCUAUACUUAGUAAGAGGUACAGGGAAAAGUGUAUUUUUCACUCUGUCUUUCUGGGAUGAGAAAUCAAGAACCAGAAAUGUUUAUUAUUGCCCUAGGAACCUAGGAGAAGACGGGUUGUGGCUUUGUGUCCCUAGGUAUUUGGAGGAUGGGGAGAAGCUGUCCAUAAGUGGUAGCAGGGAUCCAGCAAUAUGGUGGCAGGCUGGACUAAAGGAGAGAUGACUGGGAAGCAAUUUCCUGUGGUGCAUGACAGCUGAUGGAUGGAUGUCAGAAACAGUGGUGUCUGAUGAUCCAUUUGAAGCCAUUUCCUCCUCUAUAUUGCUAUUACUGUCCAUCUCCCCCUAAAUUUUCAGUAAGCACCUAUUAUAUAAAGCACCUUAGUAUUAAAAAAUGAAGGAGAUGAAAGAGAAGGUUGUGCAGUUGUAUUUUGGGCCAAGAAGAGUGGGAGAGGUGGCAGGGCCAGCGAUGAAGAGCCUGCCAGAGUGAUGGAGGCCUGAGCAAGGAGCAAGUUGGUGAAGAAAGAUUAGGACAUUGCCAUGUGGAGUCGCUGUGGAAGCCUGUUUGUUCUCAGAGCUCAGUGGAGAAGAGGUAAAAGUAGGGACCAGUAGCUGAGUCAUUAUGAGAAAGAGGGUUUCAUGGUGGUGGAAGUGACACAUUGCCUCGAUUCUCUUGAAGCUUUCUGCUUUGUUGCUUGAGUGGAGAGAAGCACCUCUGCUAUUGCGUAUGGAGGGAAGCUCUUUGCAUGGAUUUUGAAGGCGGCCUCUGCAUUUCGGACUACUGGGUGCUCCCCCACAGGCUCCUAACACCUUGCUGCUUCUCCAGGUGGGGUCUGACGUGGAGUCAGCUCACAGACCUGCCAUUCCUCUCUCAUAGUACUCCUCAUUCCAGUGAUAUCUUGGCCUGCUUCAUGAACCCUGAGCCCAGAGUUCCUAAAGCACCAAACCCAGUGAAGCAGAGACACUUCUGGCAUGGGUCUGUGGGUUGCUUCUCAGGGGCCAGGCCAGCAAGAAUGAUUCAGCACACAGGCCAACCUGUGCAAGCUUUAUGCAUGCAUUUUAGGGCAAUGGGAAGAGUGGUGAGUGAGGUUUAUGGUAAAUCUUUAACCACAUUCAAUUUUUUCUAAGACUUUUCUGCUUUAGAACAUGUAGAAAUGGAGAAAUGACCAGGGGCUGCACAAUGCUGUGCUUAUUAUAUUGCUGUAGAGAGAAGGAUGCUGCCAGCUCUCCAUAGCCUGGGGUGAACUUGGCCUAUGUAAUGAGGUAGCAGGGAGUCAGGCAGGUGAGUUCUUCCUCUUGUAUUGCCUUUUCCAGUAAAUGCCAAUACACUCCCCAGCUCACCUUUACCUAACAUCUAGGUCUUAAUCCAAGUUGUCCUCCCACUCCCCAGGGUGAAUUGAUCUUCCUGCCACGGCACCUCCUGAGCAUCUGUUGGCUGAGUCUCCAUCCCCACCCGUGAAAACAGCCUUGUGAUGUGCUGUUUAAUAUCACAGAAUGGAAACAGUGUUUUGAUUCACCAGGAUCCAAACACUCUUUUUGUAGAAUCUACAAAGUGACAUGGAUGGCCAUAUUUUAGAGGACUGUUCCUGCAGCUGGUGGGGAAGCCCUGUUUAUAUCAGGAACCCAACAAUGAUGACAGUAGCUGUUAUGGACUGAAUUGUGUUCUCCCCCCAAAUCCAUAUGCUGAAGUCCUAAAACCAGGACCUCAGAAUGUGACCGCAUUUGAAGGUAGGGUCUUUAAAGAGGUAAUUAAGUGCACAAUGAGGUCACAAGGAUGGGCUCUAAUCCAAUAUGACUGGUGUACUUAAAAGAAAUAAAUAUU